This 475-nucleotide ribosomal RNA is filed under the name uncultured Stenotrophomonas sp. Its description in RNAcentral is "bacterial SSU rRNA". It matches the Rfam family "Bacterial small subunit ribosomal RNA", at positions 54 to 518 of the family's 1533-position model. The record is from RNAcentral. Lineage: Bacteria; Pseudomonadati; Pseudomonadota; Gammaproteobacteria; Lysobacterales; Lysobacteraceae.
CAUGCAAGUCAAACGGCAGCACAGAGGAGCUUGCUCCUUGGGUGGCGAGUGGCGGACGGGUGAGGAAUACAUCGGAAUCUACUCUGUCGUGGGGGAUAACGUAGGGAAACUUACGCUAAUACCGCAUACGACCUACGGGUGAAAGCAGGGGAUCUUCGGACCUUGCGCGAUUGAAUGAGCCGAUGUCGGAUUAGCUAGUUGGCGGGGUAAAGGCCCACCAAGGCGACGAUCCGUAGCUGGUCUGAGAGGAUGAUCAGCCACACUGGAACUGAGACACGGUCCAGACUCCUACGGGAGGCAGCAGUGGGGAAUAUUGGACAAUGGGCGCAAGCCUGAUCCAGCCAUACCGCGUGGGUGAAGAAGGCCUUCGGGUUGUAAAGCCCUUUUGUUGGGAAAGAAAUCCAGCCGGCUAAUACCUGGUUGGGAUGACGGUACCCAAAGAAUAAGCACCGGCUAACUUCGUGCCAGCAGCCGA